This 433-nucleotide unclassified non-coding RNA is filed under the name soil metagenome. RNAcentral's name for it is "partial contains 5.8S ribosomal RNA, internal transcribed spacer 2, and large subunit ribosomal RNA". The stretch from base 1 to 120 matches the Rfam family "5.8S ribosomal RNA", at positions 35 to 154 of the family's 154-position model. The record is from RNAcentral.
GAUGAAGAACGCAGCGAAAUGCGAUACGUAAUGUGAAUUGCAGAAUUCAGUGAAUCAUCGAAUCUUUGAACGCAUAUUGCGCUCUCUGGUAUUCCGGAGAGCAUGCUUGUUUGAGUAUCAGUAAACACCUCAACUUCCAUAUCUUUUUUUGAAAUGGGAGUUGGACUUGAGUGAUCCCAACGCUUUUCCUCACCGAAAAGUGGCGGGUUACUUGAAAUGCAGGUGCAGCUGGACUUUGCUCUGAGCUAUAAGCAUAUCUAUUUAGUCUGCCUAAAAAACAGAUUAUUACCUUUGCUGCAGCUAACAUAAAGGAGAUUAGUUCUUGUGCUGACUGAUGCAGGAUUCACAAAGACAGCUUCGGCCGACUUUGUAAACUCGAUCUCAAAUCAAGUAAGACUACCCGCUGAACUUAAGCAUAUCAAUAAGCGGAGGA